GUGGGGAAUAUUCCGCAAUGGGCGCAAGCCUGACGGAGCAACGCCGCGUGAAUGAAGACGGUCUUCGGAUUGUAAAGUUCUGUCAUUAGGGACGAAGGACUCAUGUAAAUAAUAUGAGGAAUGACGGUACCUAAGGAGGAAGCUCCGGCUAACUACGUGCCAGCAGCCGCGGUAAUACGUAGGGAGCAAGCGUUGUCCGGAAUUACUGGGCGUAAAGGGCGCGUAGGCGGAUAAUUAAGUCAGAUGUGAAAUCUCCAGGCUUAACUUGGAGCGUGCAUUUGAAACUGGUUAUCUUGAGGGCAGGAGAGGAAAGUGGAAUUCCUAGUGUAGCGGUGAAAUGCGUAGAUAUUAGGAGGAACACCAGUGGCGAAGGCGACUUUCUGGACUGAACCUGACGCUGAGGCGCGAAAGCAUGGGGAGCGAACGGGAUUAGAUACCCUGGUAGUCC
This 448-nucleotide ribosomal RNA is filed under the name uncultured bacterium. Its description in RNAcentral is "partial 16S ribosomal RNA". It matches the Rfam family "Bacterial small subunit ribosomal RNA", at positions 354 to 796 of the family's 1533-position model. The record is from RNAcentral.